Molecule: non-coding RNA, 75 nt
Organism: Nephila pilipes (giant wood spider)
Lineage: Eukaryota; Metazoa; Arthropoda; Arachnida; Araneae; Nephilidae
Source: the annotation of a GenBank genome assembly
UCCCAUGUGGUCUAAUGGUUAGGAUUCCUGGCUUUCACCCAGGCGGCCCGGAAGCUGAAUUUCCCGCCUUGGGAA